UCCCUGGUGGCUCAGUUGGUAAAGUAUCUGCUUGCAAAGCAGAAGACCUGGGUUUGAUUCCUGGGUUGCGAA
Bos taurus (domestic cattle) is the source of this 72-nucleotide non-coding RNA. The record is from Rfam. Lineage: Eukaryota; Metazoa; Chordata; Mammalia; Artiodactyla; Bovidae.